CAAGUUCCCGUAUGAUCACUGAAGUUAAACAACAUCGAACCUGGUCAGUACCUAGAUGGGUGACUGCUUGGGAAUACCAGGUGCUGUAAG
This is a non-coding RNA of Acanthosepion pharaonis, 90 nucleotides long. The record is from the annotation of a GenBank genome assembly. Lineage: Eukaryota; Metazoa; Mollusca; Cephalopoda; Sepiida; Sepiidae.